CAGUCGCCGCGGUAAUACGAAGGGGGCUAGCGUUGUUCGGAUUUACUGGGCGUAAAGCGCACGUAGGCGGACUUUUAAGUCAGGGGUGAAAUCCCGGGGCUCAACCCCGGAACUGCCUUUGAUACUGGAAGUCUUGAGUAUGGUAGAGGUGAGUGGAAUUCCGAGUGUAGAGGUGAAAUUCGUAGAUAUUCGGAGGAACACCAGUGGCGAAGGCGGCUCACUGGACCAUUACUGACGCUGAGGUGCGAAAGCGUGGGGAGCAAACAGGAUUAGAUACCCGGGUAGUCCCUGUCUCUUAUAC
This 301-nucleotide ribosomal RNA is filed under the name uncultured bacterium. RNAcentral's name for it is "partial 16S ribosomal RNA". It matches the Rfam family "Bacterial small subunit ribosomal RNA", at positions 509 to 807 of the family's 1533-position model. The record is from RNAcentral.